RNAcentral lists this transfer RNA (90 nucleotides) under Hapsidospora chrysogenum ATCC 11550. RNAcentral's name for it is "Acremonium chrysogenum ATCC 11550 tRNA". It matches the Rfam family "tRNA". From Rfam's summary of the family: Transfer RNA (tRNA) molecules are approximately 80 nucleotides in length. Their secondary structure includes four short double-helical elements and three loops (D, anti-codon, and T loops). The record is from Rfam by way of RNAcentral. Lineage: Eukaryota; Fungi; Ascomycota; Sordariomycetes; Hypocreales; Bionectriaceae.
GGUCGCGUGGCCCAAUGGCAAGGCGUUUGACUACGAUACGUUCUAAUACGGUCUAUCAAAAGAUUGCGAGUUCGAUCCUCGCCGUGACCU